UGUGAAAUGACUUGAGAGGU
This 20-nucleotide small nuclear RNA is filed under the name Arabidopsis thaliana (thale cress). RNAcentral describes it as "snRNA_00702". The record is from RNAcentral. Lineage: Eukaryota; Viridiplantae; Streptophyta; Magnoliopsida; Brassicales; Brassicaceae.